GUAUAUUUUUCGUUGUGGGUCCUUCUAGUUGUGGCAUGUGGGACACUGCCUCAGCGUAGUUUGAUGAGCAGUGCCAUGUCCGCACCCAGGAUUCGAACCAACGAAACGCUGGGCCGCCUGCAGCGGAGCGUGAGAACUUAACCACUCGGCCACGGGGCCAGCCCCUACUUUAUUUUUUUUAAUUGCGGCAACAUUGGUUUAUAACAAGUGGGAAGUGUUUUGUUUUGCUUUUCUCUUCCUCCCUCGGUGUGGGGCCCUGCCCGUCUUCCUGUUCUGCACUCGCCUCCAAGCUCUCUGUAUUGGGGUGGGCCAGACACCUGUAACAAAUUGGACUGCGCAGAUCAUGUCUUAAACACAGGAUUUCAUUUCCAUCUCAUGCAACAGGCCAGGGUGUAUGUUCCCGGUCAGACAGAGGAGGAGGAGGGGAUGGUAAGGAAGAUCUGUUCCGUUCAGUCUCGCAGGGACCCAGGCUAGUGGGGCUCUGCCGUCUCCAGCACAUGGCUUCCAAGGUCUACCUGUCACCUUAAUGUGGCUGGCUGAAUAACGGCCCCCGAGAAUGUCCAUUCGGCAAUCGUCAGAACACGUGAAUAUUACCUUAUAUGGAAAAAGGGACUCUGGAGAUUCUCCUGGAUUAUCCGGUUGGGUCCUGAGUGUGAUCACAAGGUCCCCACAACAGGGAGGCAGUGAGAGAUUCCACCACAGAGAGGAGUAGAUGUGACAACACAAGCCUGUUAUUCUCAGUGACUCGAGCAAGAGGCCCCGAGGCACGGAAUGCAGACUUCCGGCCUCCAGAACUGUAAGUAUCUGCAUUUUUUCAGCCACAACCUUGGUUGUAAUUUGUCUCAGCAGCAACGGGCACGGAUCCAUCUUUGCCGUCAUCCCAACCUAUGAGACAUUCAACUUGUUUUUGAGCACGGCUAAACCUUUUCGCUUUCCAAAUUUGACGUUGUAUCUGUCAUGCUACUUGGCCAGCCAGUCUCUGCCACACACUCUCCUGACACGGUGUGUCAAAGGGGAGACGGGCGCCGCCUUUUGCCUUUUCGCCGGAUGUGACUCUGAAGCAGUCUGUUCUCCAUAGAGAGGCUGGAUGGAUCUGGGUGUCACAAAACGCUCACGCCACCCUCCCGCUGAAAGCCCCAGUGAGCUCUGGCUGUCCUCAUUUGUGAACGCGGGAGCAACAAUACCCACCUCACAGAGAGAAAGUAAUGAGUGGCUG
This 1216-nucleotide long non-coding RNA is filed under the name Equus caballus (horse). Its description in RNAcentral is "lncRNA (ENSECAG00000051318.1)". Lineage: Eukaryota; Metazoa; Chordata; Mammalia; Perissodactyla; Equidae. The record is from RNAcentral.